UUAUUUUGCUCGAUCCCUUUUGUUUAUGGAAACUUUGAGAAUGACUUGAUUGUGUCUUUGCAAAAUGAACAGCGUCUGACUCUGAAAAGAUUGGUUGACAUAAGCAUGGGAGUCAUUACUCCUUUGUCAGAGCAAUUGACAAAGCCGUUACCCAAUGCCAUGGUAUUGGUUACUCUGAAGGAGUUAUCUGGUGGUGCUCAAAAGCUUCUUCCAGAAGGUGUGAUAAUCGUAAUAGUUUUUUAAGUUCUUUGAAUUAAUUAUAUUCCAAAAGUUUAGUAAUCAGGCUAGAAAGGGAACCUCCUUCAGGUACACGAUUGGUUGUGUCUGUGCGUGGUGAUGAAUCAAAAGAUGAGUUGGAAAUCCUGAAGAGCACCGAUGUUACUAUGAUUCUUCAUAAUCUGCCAUAUACAGAAGAAAAAACUGGCAGAGUUCAUGCAGCCAGGAGG
RNAcentral lists this long non-coding RNA (446 nucleotides) under Nicotiana tabacum (common tobacco). Its description in RNAcentral is "long non-coding RNA (NTAB_LNC018093)". Lineage: Eukaryota; Viridiplantae; Streptophyta; Magnoliopsida; Solanales; Solanaceae. The record is from RNAcentral.